This 229-nucleotide ribosomal RNA is filed under the name uncultured bacterium. Its description in RNAcentral is "partial 16S ribosomal RNA". It matches the Rfam family "Bacterial small subunit ribosomal RNA", at positions 524 to 753 of the family's 1533-position model. The record is from RNAcentral.
UACGUAGGGCGCAAGCGUUAUCCGGAAUUAUUGGGCGUAAAGAGCUCGUAGGCGGUUUGUCGCGUCUGCCGUGAAAGUCCGGGGCUCAACUCCGGAUCUGCGGUGGGUACGGGCAGACUAGAGUGAUGUAGGGGAGACUGGAAUUCCUGGUGUAGCGGUGAAAUGCGCAGAUAUCAGGAGGAACACCGAUGGCGAAGGCAGGUCUCUGGGCAUUAACUGACGCUGGGAG